This 885-nucleotide ribosomal RNA is filed under the name archaeon enrichment culture clone BIG A_Brut_45. RNAcentral describes it as "bacterial SSU rRNA". It matches the Rfam family "Archaeal small subunit ribosomal RNA", at positions 5 to 879 of the family's 1478-position model. The record is from RNAcentral.
CGGGUGAUCCUGCGGAGGGCCACUGCUAUGGGGGUCCGACUAAGCCAUGCGAGUCAUGGGGGUGUCCCUUCUGGGACACCACCGGCGGACGGCUCAGUAACACGUCGGUAACCUACCCUCGGGAGGGGGAUAACCCCGGGAAACUGGGGCUAAUCCCCCAUAGGCCUGGGGUACUGGAAGGUCCCCAGGCCGAAAGGGGCUCUGCCCGCCCGAGGAUGGGCCGGCGGCCGAUUAGGUAGUUGGUGGGGUAACGGCCCACCAAGCCGAAGAUCGGUACGGGCCAUGAGAGUGGGAGCCCGGAGAUGGACACUGAGACACGGGUCCAGGCCCUACGGGGCGCAGCAGGCGCGAAACCUCCGCAAUGCGGGCAACCGCGACGGGGGGACCCCCAGUGCCGUGGCACAGCCACGGCUUUUCCGGAGUGUAAAAAGCUCCGGGAAUAAGGGCUGGGCAAGGCCGGUGGCAGCCGCCGCCGGUAAUACCGGCGGCCCAAGUGGUGGCCGCUAUUAUUGGGCCUAAAGCGUCCGUAGCCGGGCCCGUAAGUCCCUGGCGAAAUCCCACGGCUCAACCGUGGGGCUUGCUGGGGAUACUGCGGGCCUUGGGACCGGGAGAGGCCGGGGGUACCCCUGGGGUAGGGGUGAAAUCCUAUAAUCCCAGGGGGACCGCCAGUGGCGAAGGCGCCCGGCUGGAACGGGUCCGACGGUGAGGGACGAAGGCCAGGGGAGCGAACCGGAUUAGAUACCCGGGUAGUCCUGGCUGUAAAGGAUGCGGGCUAGGUGUCGGGCGAGCUUCGAGCUCGCCCGGUGCCGGAGGGAAGCCGUUAAGCCCGCCGCCUGGGGAGUACGGCCGCAAGGCUGAAACUUAAAGGAAUUGGCGGGGGAGCAC